AAAAUCUUUCUGAAUUUUUUACUUAAUUAGCUUAAUUUUGUAGCUAUUUAUUCUUAUAUUCUUAAGAAAUAUGAAUAUUUAUGCUAAUAGCAUAAAUCUUGAGAGAAAAAAAAUUUAAUUUAAUAGCCGAAUUUUUUAUCCCAAAUUUUUAAUUGGCGAACGUAUAUUAUCCGUAUAAAUCACGUAUCCGAAUAAUUGAUGAAUCCAUUUUUUAGCCAUAUUUUUCAACGAAUUUAAAAUUAGAAGACGAAUUUUAUUCGAAUUAUACCCGUACCGAAUUUUUGCCGAAUCUGAAUUAACUAACUAUACUUGGCUCCAAGUGCGGCUAGGAUGCUUAUGGAAAUACGGAGGGCUCCGUGCUUUCACUUUGUUUUCGAUAUUCGGACUUUCGAAUUGACGAUCGGCUCCAUUAGACUUGAUCUAGAGUAUUUGAAGUAUCUGGAAAAUAAAUUUUGCGAUUUUUCGAUAUCAUUUGCCUAGUAAUCGAAGUGGCUCAAAAUCAACGGCUGAAAAUAAAAAUCUUACAAAAUAUGAUGAUAUGACAAUAAAAUUUUAGAUCAAAGUUAUUGAUCUUGUUUUAUAUAGUAUAAAGAAUUUUCUAUCAAAAUUUCAUGUGAUUUAGAUAUUUCUACACCGUUAAACUUACAACCGGCUCACCACGGCCGUUAAAAUUAUUGAUUUUGAGCAACUUCGAUCACUAGUCAAAUGAUAUCAAAAAUCACAAAAUUUAUUUUCUAGGUACUUCAAAUAUUCUAGAUCAACUCUAAGGGAGCCGAUCGUCGAUUCGAAAAUCCGAACAUCGAAAAUAAUUUGGAAGCUUCUCUCAGCAUACCAGCCCACUCCUU
RNAcentral lists this long non-coding RNA (845 nucleotides) under Ananas comosus (pineapple). RNAcentral's name for it is "long non-coding RNA (ACOM_LNC014066)". Lineage: Eukaryota; Viridiplantae; Streptophyta; Magnoliopsida; Poales; Bromeliaceae. The record is from RNAcentral.